GGUGGCUCAGUGGUUAAGAGUGCUUGCCUGACAUGCAUGAGGCCCUGGGUUUGAUUCCUCAGCACCA
This is a non-coding RNA of Dipodomys ordii (Ord's kangaroo rat), 67 nucleotides long. The record is from Rfam. Lineage: Eukaryota; Metazoa; Chordata; Mammalia; Rodentia; Heteromyidae.